This 2679-nucleotide long non-coding RNA is filed under the name Monomorium pharaonis (pharaoh ant). RNAcentral describes it as "uncharacterized LOC118645111". The record is from RNAcentral. Lineage: Eukaryota; Metazoa; Arthropoda; Insecta; Hymenoptera; Formicidae.
AUCACUCUCGUCCGUCGCCGUCGCCGCAUGGUUCGUAUCGGUUUGCAUAUGUCGUCUAGAAUUUGGAAUUGACGAAGCAUCCAGAAGCAUCGAAGAAUUAUAAUAUUGGAAGUGGAAGUGAACAAAGUUUUCUGCCAAUUUGAAUAAACAUAGUAUUAAUUAAAUAAAUAGUACACAUAAAAACCAAAUAGUGUAGAAAAUACUAGGCAUAAUGCCGUGGAUGAUAAUAAAAUUUAAUAAAGAAAAUAAAGUUGACGCUGUACUCACAACGUGGUAUAAUAAGCAAAAUAAGCAAUGUUAUUGGCCGCUCAAGAAAAUAAGCCAUAAAAUUGCCGAAUUUAUAAAAAAUCAACGUGAACCUGAUGAAUCGUGGAAAUUAUUUGACGCAACGCUUUUGGGCGCUUACGGUAGAUAUUAAAACGAUUAAAAUAAAUUGAUAAUUUUUUUCUCACCUACUGAUUUAAAUUAUUAAUAUUUACCCAUUUUGAUUCUCUGAAAGUUAAUACCACGGGAAAAUUUCAAGAGGCGUCUAAAUUAGCUUAAACUUUUUAAAUUUUAAUAAAUUUUUAAUUAAUUAUAAAGCGCUCUGUUGCUUUUUUAGAUAUAAGUUUGUGACAUGACAGUAUUUUUGAGAAAUUGUUCAAAAUUUGUUAGUUUAUUUGUUCUUUUAAUUAAUUAUUAACUUUGUAGCAUGAGCUAUAACAUUUCACUGUAAUUAAAUUACAAAUAUUAGUAAAUAUAAUUAAAUCAAAAAUUUUAAUUGACAUUUUUAUUUUCAUAUUUAAUAUAAGUUAUUAAAAAAAAUAUGAGUCAUAAAUAUAUGUAAAACUAUUAUUCAGUAUAUUUUGUUGAGGGCAUUAAAUUAAACAGAAACAUUAAAUUUUUGCUUCUGUGUUUUUAUUACACAAAAAUAAAUUAAUAUUAUGUACAAAUAUGCUGAGUCAAUACGCAUAAAAUUUUAAGUGAAAAAUAUUCAUUAAAAAAACAUUUGAAUCUGAGAGAUAACUUGAUUUUAGUGAAUUUCUUUGUAUUAUAAAAUUAUUAUUUUUCUAGAUUUAUUUUAUAUCAGGGGUCUUCAGGACUUAAAAGGACUAUUAGUUAGUAACAGACUCACCUAAACAAAAACAAUUCCUUAAAAAUACUUUUAAGAGUCAUAAAUUUAUAUCUAAUGUCGAAAUAAAAAAAAUAAAAAUCUAAAUAAUGUGUAAAUAUAUAGAGAAAAUAAAAAUCAAUAUUAAAAUUUAAAUCAGUAGAAAUAAGAAAAACUUUUUAAUAUUCAUUUAUGUAUUUAUUUAUUUAUCAAUAUUGUUUUAUUUACAAAUUUAGAUGAUUUUGGAUACGUUUAACAUAAAGCUAAAAAAGCGCAAACAACCGAUCUUUUAACCUCUAACGACGAAUCUCUAGUUUCAAGAAAAAAAAAUGCACAAAAAAAUCUGAAAAGUUACGAGUCUCUCCUAUAUCUAGUAGCAGUGACACUGGAGACUUCUGACAAUGAUUUGAAUAAAUAUCCAGUUCAAUUUGAUAAUUUUGAUGGUAUAAUUCUAUAAUCUACUUCUAAUAUUUAUUUAUAUUCAUAUUAAUAUGUAUUAAUAAGUCUAGUAUAUUAAUUAAAUUAUUGUUUAUAUCAUUGUUUAAGUUUCCACAAACAAGAAACGCAUGGUACGAAAAAAUGAACAUAAUACAAGCUUUAUUGAAAUUGAUAAAGCUAUAUCAGAACGUGAGGAAAAGCAGUAUAAUGAAAAUACAAUUGCUCGAAUUACAAGGUAAACCAAAAUUCUCUUAUAUUUUUAUGCAAUAUAUUUAUUUUGAAUUGAUUGCGAUGCUUGAAUAUGAUUUGUUUAAUUACAGAGUGUCAAAAGCAAUAUCUAAAAGAUAUAAAUCUCCUGCAUUUAAAAAUUGAUGUAAUUUCUGAGUCAGUUUUUUCAUUGGUAAAAAUGCAAAAACAAUAGUAAAACCCACCAGCUUGCUAAGUGAGCAACUGCCAAUAAUAAACUUAUUUCCUAUGGAUUCGGAAGGAUUAAAUCAAGUAGAGGAGUGGCUACAAAACGAACAAAACAAACAGAACUUGGUAUUUAAGAAACUUAGUAUUUACGAAAACUUCAUGAGUGUCUACAAAACUACAAUUUCUUUUCUUACAGGUGGCAGAAUUAAGCAAAAUGGGCGGACCAACCGUGAAGGAGGUUGUGAAGCGAGUUAUGUAUCGAUUAUUUCAAAAUUCCCUAGGCAUGGAGUACUCCUGGGAAGGAAAAAAAAAAGAAAUAAGUUUUUAAAUCACUUUUGAUUUCUUCAAUAAUUAUGGAUGUUGUUCGCGCAAAUAAAAAUACAGCAGAUUGUCGCGAAUACGAGGUUAUCGUGAUAAUAAAGUCAUGGCUCGUUAGAAGCAAGGAACGUUUUCAUAAUGACAUAACGACUCCAAGGAACGAUGCACCGAAACAGGCACAAACUGAACCAAAGAAAACACAGACUGCAUCAAAGAAGGCACAGACUAAACAAAAAAAAACGCACUGAUUGAACCGAAAGAAACUGAACAGGAAGAAACAUCUAUUGAACGGACUUUACCGAAUGAAGAACGAAGAGAUGAGUAACCCUUUGUUUUAUAUGUCUUCUAACUUUUUUAUUUAAUUUUUGUUCUUAAAAAAUUUUAUGUUUUUUUUACGUUUAUAACGUUUACAAUGUUAA